AUUGAACGCUGGCGGCAUGCCUUACACAUGCAAGUCGAACGGUAACAGGUUAAGCUGACGAGUGGCGAACGGGUGAGUAAUGUAUCGGAACGUGCCCAGUUGUGGGGGAUAACUGCUCGAAAGAGCAGCUAAUACCGCAUACGACCUGAGGGUGAAAGCGGGGGAUCGCAAGACCUCGCGCAAUUGGAGCGGCCGAUAUCAGAUUAGGUAGUUGGUGGGGUAAAGGCUCACCAAGCCGACGAUCUGUAGCUGGUCUGAGAGGACGACCAGCCACACUGGGACUGGGACACGGCCCAGACUCCUACGGGAGGCAGCAGUGGGGAAUUUGGGACAAUGGGCGCAAGCCUGAUCCAGCCAUGCCGCGUGCGGGAAGAAGGCCUUCGGGUUGUAAACCGCUUUUGUCAGGGAAGAAACGCUCUGGGUUAAUACCCUGGGGUAAUGACGGUACCUGAAGAAUAAGCACCGGCUAACUACGUGCCAGCCGCCGCAGUAA
Molecule: ribosomal RNA, 493 nt
Filed under: uncultured bacterium
Lineage: Bacteria
Description: partial 16S ribosomal RNA
Rfam family: Bacterial small subunit ribosomal RNA
Source: RNAcentral